CGGGACGGGUGAGUAAUGUCUGGGAAACUGCCUGAUGGAGGGGGAUAACUACUGGAAACGGUAGCUAAUAUCGCAUAACGUCGCAAGACCAAAGAGGGGGACCUUCGGGCCUCUUGCCAUCGGAUGUGCCCAGAUGGGAUUAGCUAGUAGGUGGGGUAAAGGCUCACCUAGGCGACGAUCCCUAGCUGGUCUGAGAGGAUGACCAGCCACACUGGAACUGAGACACGGUCCAG
This 233-nucleotide ribosomal RNA is filed under the name uncultured bacterium. RNAcentral's name for it is "partial 16S ribosomal RNA". It matches the Rfam family "Bacterial small subunit ribosomal RNA", at positions 100 to 334 of the family's 1533-position model. The record is from RNAcentral.